ACGAAUUCUCACCUUAUAGUACUCAGUAUAAGGUAUACAUUCGCUUCUUAUUGGCUCCCUGUCUUUCAGUACUUGUUUUAUUGGUUUAACAUGUUUCUUUUUGCAGCUUACACAUUAUACAUACUUCACCAAUGAACAGCUCUACAUUUUACCAGGAUGUUGUCGACUGUCACCAGCGACCCAUUGUCUAUCGUCGAACUGAUCACAGUUAUUAUUCUCUUAUUUUUUUAAUUGAGGAAGUGAGCUGGCUUGUCUGGAUGUAAAAUAAGAAAUAC
RNAcentral lists this long non-coding RNA (275 nucleotides) under Zea mays. Its description in RNAcentral is "long non-coding RNA (ZMAY_LNC000581)". Lineage: Eukaryota; Viridiplantae; Streptophyta; Magnoliopsida; Poales; Poaceae. The record is from RNAcentral.